UACGGAGGGUGCGAGCGUUGUCCGGAAUUAUUGGGCGUAAAGGGCUCGUAGGCGGUCUGUUGCGUCGGGAGUGAAAACUCAGGGCUUAACCCUGAGCCUGCUUCCGAUACGGGCAGACUAGAGGUAUGCAGGGGAGAACGGAAUUCCUGGUGUAGCGGUGAAAUGCGCAGAUAUCAGGAGGAACACCGGUGGCGAAGGCGGUUCUCUGGGCAUUACCUGACGCUGAGGAGCGAAAGUGUGGGGAGCGAACAGG
RNAcentral lists this ribosomal RNA (253 nucleotides) under uncultured bacterium. RNAcentral describes it as "partial 16S ribosomal RNA". It matches the Rfam family "Bacterial small subunit ribosomal RNA", at positions 524 to 776 of the family's 1533-position model. The record is from RNAcentral.